UGGGGGUGUGGCGGUCGGGCGAGGGCAGCACCAGCUCGGGGCUGGUGACGGCUAUCGCGGUCGGCAUCCGCACACCCCCGGC
This 82-nucleotide transfer RNA is filed under the name Streptomyces aureoverticillatus. RNAcentral's name for it is "tRNA-Pro". Lineage: Bacteria; Bacillati; Actinomycetota; Actinomycetes; Kitasatosporales; Streptomycetaceae. The record is from RNAcentral.